Molecule: transfer RNA, 76 nt
Filed under: Oscillospiraceae bacterium
Lineage: Bacteria; Bacillati; Bacillota; Clostridia; Eubacteriales; Oscillospiraceae
Description: tRNA-Ile
Rfam family: tRNA
About the family: Transfer RNA (tRNA) molecules are approximately 80 nucleotides in length.
Source: RNAcentral
GGGCCAUUAGCUCAAUGGUUAGAGCCCCCGGCUCAUAACCGGUUGGUUCGGGGUUCGAGUCCCUGAUGGCCCACCA